AAAUCUGCGCAAAUGUCUGUGACGUCCUCUAAAGAUACAUCUCCCUUCCCAGCUCCACCUGCAAAACACAAGUACAAUUUCUCACCGCACCAAUCGUGCAUAUAUUGUGCAAGAAUAAACAUUUCUACCCGUGACAAAUAUAUUUUUUUACAUCCCCUUGAAAUAACCCUUCGAGUCGCUAAAGCAGCGUGUCACGUGACGCCUUCAACCGCUCGAAAAACUACCGCGUGUGCACUUUUAAACACAAAGACGAUAUUUAGCAGCCAUAAGCUGUUUUUGCCUGACCUUUGGGUCAUGCGGCUUUGAAAUAGACGUUUAAUGAACAACGAGGAGCCGUUUGGAAGGCUUUAAGUAGAAGCCCGAAUUGCGCAAAAAAAAAAAACAACGCCAACGACGCUUCACACCCGGCGGCGAGAAAUUCGACCGCGUUAUGGGAAUGGAUGGCUAAAAUACGGCUCGGAUGUGGAAUUAUUUAUCAAAGCGGGUCGAUAUAGGGCCGCUCGAGUGCUUCGGCCCACUGGGCGACUAGUAGCAGACAUGCUCGCCUAUUCAAGGCGCAGUGUUCCUCGCCUACGCGCUGCUACGACAUUUCCAUACACCAGUGGAGACAGUAUUCCCGAAAGAGUGCGAGGACUCAGCUACCAAUAAACAGCCAACAUUGGGUAUCCUUAUUUCUGCACAGCAAGGAAAGGAGGGGGGGGGGAGAA
Long non-coding RNA from Hippocampus comes (tiger tail seahorse), 707 nucleotides. RefSeq lists it as uncharacterized. The record is from RefSeq and is a predicted model, not a curated record. The transcript has 2 exons. Lineage: Eukaryota; Metazoa; Chordata; Actinopteri; Syngnathiformes; Syngnathidae.